AGAGUUUGAUCCUGGCUCAGAAUCAACGCUGGCGGCGCGCUUAACACAUGCAAGUCGAGCGAGAAAAGGGCAACCUGAGUACAGCGGCGUACGGGUGAGUAACACGUGGAUCAUCUACCUUUUAGUGGGGAAUAACUCUGGGAAACCGGAGCUAAUACCGCAUAAUCCUGUGAAGGGAAAGCAGCAAUGCGCUGAAAGAGGAGUCCGCGGCCGAUUAGCUAGUUGGUGAGGUAACGGCCCACCAAGGCGACGAUCGGUAGCCGGCCUGAGAGGGCACACGGCCACACUGGCACUGAAACACGGGCCAGACUCCUACGGGAGGCAGCAGUGGGGAAUCUUGCACAAUGGGGGCAACCCUGAUGCAGCGACGCCGCGUGAGCGAUGAAGCCCCUCGGGGUGUAAAGCUCUUUCGGCAGGAACGAUAAUGACGGUACCUGAAGAAGAAGCUGCGGCUAACUACGUGCCAGCAGCCGCGGUAAUACGUAGGCAGCAAGCGUUGUUCGGAAUUACUGGGCGUAAAGAGUGUGUAGGCGGUGCUCUAAGUUCGGUGUGAAAUCUCCCGGCUUAACUGGGAGGGUGCGCCGGAAACUGGAAUGCUCGAGCGUGGGAGAGGAAAGCGGAAUUCCUGGUGUAGCGGUGAAAUGCGUAGAUAUCAGGAGGAACACCUGCGGUGUAGACGGCUUUCUGGACCAUUGCUGACGCUGAGACACGAAAGCGUGGGUAGCAAACAGAUUAGAUACCCCUGUAGUCC
This 751-nucleotide ribosomal RNA is filed under the name uncultured bacterium. RNAcentral describes it as "bacterial SSU rRNA". It matches the Rfam family "Bacterial small subunit ribosomal RNA", at positions 8 to 796 of the family's 1533-position model. The record is from RNAcentral.